CAAUAGCGUAUAUUUAAGUUGCCGCAGUUAAAAAGCUCGUAGUUGGAUUUCGGGUGGGAAUGGCCGGUCCGCCGUUUCGGUGUGCACUUGCUACGCCCACCUUGCUGCCGGGGACGUGCUCUUGAGUUCACGCUCGGGACACGGAGUCGGCGAGGUUACUUUGAGUAAAUUAGAGUGUUCAAAGCAGGCCUACGCUCUGAAUACAUUAGCAUGGAAUAACACGAUAGGACUCUGGCCUAUCUUGUUGGUCUGUAGGACCGGAGUAAUGAUUAAGAGGGACAGUCGGGGGCAUUUGUAUUUCAUUGUCAGAGGUGAAAUUCUUGGAUUUAUGAAAGACGAACUACUGCGAAAGCAUUUGCCGAGGAUGUCCUCAUUAA
Molecule: ribosomal RNA, 377 nt
Filed under: uncultured eukaryote
Lineage: Eukaryota
Description: partial 18S ribosomal RNA
Rfam family: Eukaryotic small subunit ribosomal RNA
Source: RNAcentral